GACUGGGCUGUGGCUCAGUGGGAGAGCAUCUGCUUUGCGUGCAGAAGGUCCCAGGCUCAAACCCUGGCAUCUCCCAGUUA
RNAcentral lists this transfer RNA (80 nucleotides) under Sphaerodactylus townsendi. RNAcentral describes it as "tRNA-Ala". It matches the Rfam family "tRNA". Rfam says of the family: Transfer RNA (tRNA) molecules are approximately 80 nucleotides in length. Their secondary structure includes four short double-helical elements and three loops (D, anti-codon, and T loops). Lineage: Eukaryota; Metazoa; Chordata; Lepidosauria; Squamata; Sphaerodactylidae. The record is from RNAcentral.